CCCUUAGAUGUUCUGGGCUGCACACGUGCGACACUGGCAGGUUCAGCGAGCUUCAUGCCCUGAUCUGAAAGGAAUGGGAAAUCUUUUCAAAACCUGCCGUGCUUGGGAUAGAUGUUUGCAAUUAUUCAUCUUCAACGAGGAUUGCCUUGUAAGCGCACGUCAUCAGCGUGCAUUGAAUACGACCCUGUAUUCUGUACACACCGCCCGUCGCUCCUACCGAUUGAAGUUUUCGGUGAGUUGACAGGAGGAUUUUUUUGAAACUGGUUCGCCAGUGGAUUUUAGAUCCAAAUGCCAACGAAUCGAUGGCUUUAGAGGAAGGAGAAGUCGUAACA
This 332-nucleotide ribosomal RNA is filed under the name uncultured eukaryote. RNAcentral's name for it is "partial 18S ribosomal RNA". It matches the Rfam family "Eukaryotic small subunit ribosomal RNA", at positions 1470 to 1796 of the family's 1831-position model. The record is from RNAcentral.